This 376-nucleotide ribosomal RNA is filed under the name uncultured organism. Its description in RNAcentral is "partial 16S ribosomal RNA". It matches the Rfam family "Bacterial small subunit ribosomal RNA", at positions 527 to 896 of the family's 1533-position model. The record is from RNAcentral.
GUAGGUGGCAAGCGUUGUCCGGAAUUAUUGGGCGUAAAGCGCGCGCAGGCGGUUUCUUUAAGUCUGAUGUGAAACGCCCACGGCUCAACCGUGGAGGGUCAUUGGAAACUGGAGAACUUGAGUACAGAAGAGGAAAGCGGAAUUCCACGUGUAGCGGUGAAAUGCGUAGAGAUGUGGAGGAACACCAGUGGCGAAGGCGGCUUUUCUGGUCUGUAACUGACGCUGAGGCGCGAAAGCGUGGGGAGCAAACAGGGAUUAGAUACCCUGGUAGUCCACGCCGUAAACGAUGAGUGCUAAGUGUUAGGGGGUUUCCGCCCCCUUAGUGCUGCAGCUAACGCAUUAAGCACUCCGCCUGGGGAGUACGGCCGCAAGGCUG